RNAcentral lists this ribosomal RNA (496 nucleotides) under uncultured bacterium. RNAcentral describes it as "partial 16S ribosomal RNA". It matches the Rfam family "Bacterial small subunit ribosomal RNA", at positions 28 to 506 of the family's 1533-position model. The record is from RNAcentral.
GAUGAACGCUGGCGGCGUGCCUAAUACAUGCAAGUCGAGCGAACGGACGAGAAGCUUGCUUCUCUGAUGUUAGCGGCGGACGGGUGAGUAACACGUGGAUAACCUACCUAUAAGACUGGGAUAACUUCGGGAAACCGGAGCUAAUACCGGAUGAUAUUUUGAACCGCAUGGUUCAAAAGUGAAAGACGGUCUUGCUGUCACUUAUAGAUGGAUCCGCGCUGCAUUAGCUAGUUGGUAAGGUAACGGCUUACCAAGGCAACGAUGCAUAGCCGACCUGAGAGGGUGAUCGGCCACACUGGAACUGAGACACGGUCCAGACCCCUACGGGAGGCAGCAGUAGGGAAUCUUCCGCAAUGGGCGAAAGCCUGACGGAGCAACGCCGCGUGAGUGAUGAAGGGCUUCGGAUCGUAAAACUCUGUUAUUAGGGAAGAACAUGUGUGUAAGUAACUGUGCACAUCUGGACGGUACCUAAUCAGAAAGCCACGGCUAACUACGU